AUUGAACGCUGGCGGAAUGCUUUACACUUGCAAGUCGAGCGGCAGCGCGGGGGCAACCCUGGCGGCGAGCGGCGAACGGGUGAGUAACACAUCGGAACGUACCCAGUGGUGGGGGAUAGCCCGGCGAAAGCCGGAUUAAUACCGCAUACGACCUGAGGGGGAAAGUGGGGGACCGCAAGGCCUCACGCCGUUGGAGCGGCCGAUGUUCGAUUAGCUAGUUGGUAGGGUAAAGGCCUACCAAGGCGACGAUCGAUAGCUGGUCUGAGAGGACGACCAGCCACACUGGAACUGAGACACGGUCCAGACUCCUACGGGAGGCAGCAGUGGGGAAUUUUGGACAAUGGGGGCAACCCUGAUCCAGCCAUUCCGCGUGAGUGAAGAAGGCCUCGGUU
RNAcentral lists this ribosomal RNA (392 nucleotides) under uncultured bacterium. RNAcentral's name for it is "bacterial SSU rRNA". It matches the Rfam family "Bacterial small subunit ribosomal RNA", at positions 29 to 424 of the family's 1533-position model. The record is from RNAcentral.